This 440-nucleotide ribosomal RNA is filed under the name uncultured bacterium. RNAcentral's name for it is "partial 16S ribosomal RNA". It matches the Rfam family "Bacterial small subunit ribosomal RNA", at positions 338 to 795 of the family's 1533-position model. The record is from RNAcentral.
CCUACGGGAGGCAGCAGUAGGGAAUAUUGCACAAUGGGGGAAACCCUGAUGCAGCAACGCCGCGUGGGUGAUGAAGUUUUUCGGAUUGUAAAGUCCUACCAUCAGAGAAGAGUAUGACGGUAUCUGACUAAUAAGCCCCGGCUAACUACGUGCCAGCAGCCGCGGUAAUACGGAGGGGGCGAGCGUUAACCGGAUUUACUGGGCGUAAAGAGUGCGUAGACGGGUCUGUAAGUCUGAUGUGAAAGCCCGUGGCUUAACCGCGGAACGGCUUUUGAAACUGUGGAACUGGAGGGCGGGAGAGGCAAGCGGAAUUCUUAGUGUAGGGGUGAAAUGCGUAGAUAUUAGGAGGAACACCAGUGGCGAAGGCGGCUGGCUGGACAGUAACUGACGUUGAGGCUCGAAAGCGUGGGGAGCAAACAGGAUUAGAUACCCCAGUAGUC